UCCAGACUCCUACGGGAGGCAGCAGUGGGGGAUAUUGCACAAUGGGGGGAACCCUGAUGCAGCGACGCCGCGUGGGUGAAGGAGCGUUUCGGCGCGUAAAGCCCUAUCGGCAGGGAAGAAGGAGGACGGUACCUGACUAAGAAGCCCCGGCUAACUACGUGCCAGCAGCCGCGGUAAUACGUAGGGGGCAAGCGUUAUCCGGAUUUACUGGGUGUAAAGGGGGCGCAGACGGCAGCGCAAGCCAGGAGUGAAAGCCCGGGGCGCAACCCCGGGACUGCUCUUGGAACUGCGCGGCUGGAGUGCAGGAGGGGCAGGCGGAAUUCCUGGUGUAGCGGUGAAAUGCGUAGAUAUCAGGAGGAACACCGGUGGCGAAGGCGGCCUGCUGGACUGCGACUGACGUUGAGGCCCGAAAGCGUGGGGAGCAAACAGGAUUAGAUACCCCCGUAACU
This 449-nucleotide ribosomal RNA is filed under the name uncultured bacterium. Its description in RNAcentral is "partial 16S ribosomal RNA". It matches the Rfam family "Bacterial small subunit ribosomal RNA", at positions 330 to 795 of the family's 1533-position model. The record is from RNAcentral.